AGUGGUACGCGAGCUGGGUUUAGAACGUCGUGAGACAGUUCGGUCCCUAUCUGCCGUGGGCGCUGGAGAACUGAGGGGGGCUGCUCCUAGUACGAGAGGACCGGAGUGGACGCAUCACUGGUGUUCGGGUUGUCAUGCCAAUGGCACUGCCCGGUAGCUAAAUGCGGAAGAGAUAAGUGCUGAAAGCAUCUAAGCACGAAACUUGCCCCGAGAUGAGUUCUCCCUGACUCCUUGAGAGUCCUGAAGGAACGUUGAAGACGACGACGUUGAUAGGCCGGGUGUGUAAGCGCAGCGAUGCGUUGAGCUAACCGGUACUAAUGAACCGUGAGGCUUAACCUU
Molecule: ribosomal RNA, 339 nt
Filed under: Escherichia coli
Lineage: Bacteria; Pseudomonadati; Pseudomonadota; Gammaproteobacteria; Enterobacterales; Enterobacteriaceae
Description: partial 23S ribosomal RNA
Rfam family: Bacterial large subunit ribosomal RNA
Source: RNAcentral